UACGUAGGGAGCAAGCGUUGUUCGGAUUUACUGGGCGUAAAGGGCGCGUAGGCGGCAAUUCAAGUCAGCUGUGAAAUCUCCGGGCUUAACUCGGAACGGUCAGCUGAUACUGCUUUGCUAGAGUGCGGAAGGGGCAAUCGGAAUUCUCGGUGUAGCGGUGAAAUGCGUAGAUAUCGAGAGGAACACCUGAGGUGAAGACGGGUUGCUGGGCCGACACUGACGCUGACAGCGCGAAAGCCAGGGGAGCAAAGCGGG
This 255-nucleotide ribosomal RNA is filed under the name uncultured bacterium. RNAcentral describes it as "partial 16S ribosomal RNA". It matches the Rfam family "Bacterial small subunit ribosomal RNA", at positions 524 to 777 of the family's 1533-position model. The record is from RNAcentral.